GUUUGCUGCAUUUAUAGGAAAAUUUGUAUAAGAUGUUUUACAGGUGGCAUUUACCCCCGGCAAGAAUAUCAAAAAUGUUCAAGGACAAAUC
This is a non-coding RNA of Notechis scutatus (mainland tiger snake), 91 nucleotides long. The record is from RefSeq and is a predicted model, not a curated record. Lineage: Eukaryota; Metazoa; Chordata; Lepidosauria; Squamata; Elapidae.